UGUUACUUGUCCUUAUUUGUGAACUUCCCUCUGGGCUGGAGGAAAUCUCUUGGGAAGCCCUGUUCACACCUCCUCCCUGUUGUAAAUAACAUCUGACACAGUUAUGGCUGGGCGCACACAGCUCCUGGGGGGAUGCUGGUAGCUCUUGCCAUGCUGCUCUGUAACCCAGCCAGGCUCCCAGCUCCUCACUGGCUCUUUUGGUGAGGUUCAUAGCUCUGGCAUCUUCAAAAAGAGCUGACAGAUCUGUGCAGACUGAGGAUAGGCCAUCAGGGUUUUUUGUUUUUCAUUCUGCAUCAUUGCAAUGCCCCUAAAACCAUUUUCCAUUUCUGUCAUCCAUGAUUUUUCUUCUUUCAUGCAGCAUUCCCUGUUUCAUCUGAACGCAUCCUGCUUGUGCAUUUUAUGGCAAAUAUUCCCUGCACAGGCAGAGACAGCUGGUGCCAGGCUGGUCUGGAGCUAUAGAUAUGCUGAUGAGCUGGCACACCAGCUUGAAGGGACACACUUCCUUAUGAGCCAGCCAGGAGUUACAUACAUUUAGAUUUGCCAGCCUUUUAGCUGCCAGACGGGUCAAAUUCACGUUGCUGUCAGUUGUUGGCAGCAGAACCUGCGGCUCUGGGGAUCUGCUGUGACACUGCUGGCACUUUGCUGUGCCUGUGUCACAAGUGCCAGCGUCAGCUCCCACGCUCAGAGCGGCUCCGGUGAGGGCAGUGCUGAGAAAUGAGAGUUUCUCUGGCAAUUCUCCUGGUUUGCCAGCAUGGAUGAGCCUGGAGGUGCUUUUGCUCCAGCUGUGAUGGUGCAAGGAUCCAGCCCUGCCUGGGCUUAGGGACAAUCAGAGGCAGAGACAAGCUCCUGGAUCAGCCAAAGGGAGCUGGCAGCACGGAGCUGUCUGGGGCAGGCAGCCCCUUCGUGCCGGGCAGAGCAUGGCUUCUCCUGUGGCUCCUGGGCAGGCUCUCUGCUUCUGCUGCUUCCUGGUUACGUCAGAGAAGAGCCUCCCGUCCUCGAGCCCAGCGCUGCAGUCCAGGACGGCUGGAAACAAAUGAAGUGUUGAAUAUCUAAUGGCUUCCACAGGGAGAGCUGCUCCAUCCUCCCCAGGCCCCCGGCAUUCCUCACCUCCUAGGCCUCCCUCCUUCCUUCCCUCGGACAAGCCAGGGUUGCAGAGGGAGCUGCAGGCUCCUGGGCAGCCCCAGCUGCUCUGGGAACACGUGCAGCGACUUCCCUGGUGUUGCUGCUGCAACCAAGACCCUCCCAUGGCCUUCCUGCCUCUCCACGGGUUCAGGGAGGUGGUUUGGGGGCAUCCAGGUUAUUGCUAAGAUCCAGAGGUUGCUUUGGGAGGGCUCCAGCCCUGUGUGCUGUGGUGGUGAUGUUCAACUCGGCCACAGUGCUGGGAGGGCUGGGGCUGCCAUCCUGUUUGCUCAGAGUCUGGGAGUGUCCUUCCAGGAAAGCUGCCCAUCAUUCCCAGGGUAUCAGCCGGGGCUCCCAGGCUCUCAGGGGCAGAUGAGUGCGUGUGUGACUCGCCAGUUCCCAGCGCUGGGAGUGCCAGUGACUCACAGCUCUCCUGCCAGGGCUGUGGGGGAAAUGCCCCACAGCUGUGAGCAUCCCCCUCACUUCUGCUGCUUUCUCUUCCCGUGGUUGUGUGCAGCAGGGCUCUCCUCACCCAUUUCCUGCAGACAGCCCCACCCCAGGGGGCUGCCCUGUAGCUCUGCCAGGGCUGUGUCUGGUGGGCAGUGACUCACGGGGAAAGCUGUGUCUGAGCCCUGAGGGAGCAGAGGAAUUGCCUUCAGGUGGUGUCACUCCGAGGUGAGACCCUAGCCUGGGUCUCUUCCCCUCAGGGCAGCAGCCAGCUGGUGAAUCAGUUGUCUGUGCCUCCAGAGUCCGUGUGCUGACACAUCAGCCGGGUGCCUUCGCCCCCAGCCCUGUGCUCACCGAGCUCCUGUGUCCCCUGGCCAGCCCGUUAUGUCAUCCCUGGGACCGUGUCCAUGGAACUGUUCGUUCUUUUGAGUGCCUCUCCAUACAGUCCUUCACCCUGUCACCAGGAAAGGUGGCUUCAGCUGUUGUUCCCUGGGAGCAGAGCACAUCCUUGCUGCUCUGCCAGCACUGGGAUCACCUGCUGCCAGCACUGCUCCGGGCUGGAGCCACAGUCAGGAGCACAGGGAGGCCAGCAUGGAGACUGUCCCAUGGGAGCCCUCCUGACCCUUGGCUGGGGCAGUCUGGUUACUUCAAUCAAA
Non-coding RNA from Taeniopygia guttata (zebra finch), 2222 nucleotides. The record is from RefSeq and is a predicted model, not a curated record. Lineage: Eukaryota; Metazoa; Chordata; Aves; Passeriformes; Estrildidae.